GCUGCGAAGCGCGGCGGCAUUGCCCGCGCGAUUGGCGCGCGCGCGCGGCGCCGCCGAUGCCGAUGCCGAUGCCGAUGCCGGCGCGCGGCG
This 90-nucleotide transfer RNA is filed under the name Burkholderia pseudomallei. Its description in RNAcentral is "tRNA-Pro(tgg)". The record is from RNAcentral. Lineage: Bacteria; Pseudomonadati; Pseudomonadota; Betaproteobacteria; Burkholderiales; Burkholderiaceae.